Transfer RNA from Rhodobacteraceae bacterium PD-2, 74 nucleotides. It matches the Rfam family "tRNA". From Rfam's summary of the family: Transfer RNA (tRNA) molecules are approximately 80 nucleotides in length. Their secondary structure includes four short double-helical elements and three loops (D, anti-codon, and T loops). The record is from Rfam. NCBI's taxonomy places the organism in Bacteria, Pseudomonadati, Pseudomonadota, Alphaproteobacteria, Rhodobacterales, Paracoccaceae.
CGGAGUGUAGCGCAGCCUGGUAGCGCACCUGCUUCGGGAGCAGGGGGUCGGAGGUUCGAAUCCUCUCACUCCGA